UCUCUCUCUCUCUCUCUCUCUCUCUUUAACAAAUCCAUUUCACCAACUCCCCAUCUCUUAUAUAUCAACACCUCUCCUACCAUUUCUUUUGCUUAAAACAUCUCAACCCCAUCUUUUCUUCUCUCUCUCUUUCCUCAAUAUGGCUCUUCUUCUAAUACCAAUAUCAAUCCUCCUCCUCCUCCUCUUAGCAUACAAACUCUACUUCCGCAUCCGCUUCAAACUCGCCCCCGGCCCACGCCCUUGGCCGAUCGUCGGCAACCUCUACGACGUCAAGCCAGUUAGGUUCCGAUGCUACGCCGAGUGGGCUAAGUCUUAUGGUCCGAUCAUUUCAGUUUGGCUUGGUUCAACUUUAAAUGUGAUCGUUUCGAAUACAGAAUUGGCGAAAGAAGUGCUGAAGGAACAUGAUCAACAGUUAGCUGAUCGGCAUCGGAGUAGGUCAGCUGCAAAGUUUAGCAAAGAUGGGCAGGAUCUUAUAUGGGCUGACUAUGGACCUCACUAUGUGAAGGCUAGGAAAGUGUGUACACUUGAGCUUUUUACACCUAAGAGACUCGAGGCUUUGAAACCCAUUAGGGAAGAUGAG
RNAcentral lists this unclassified non-coding RNA (580 nucleotides) under Hevea brasiliensis (rubber tree). The record is from RNAcentral. Lineage: Eukaryota; Viridiplantae; Streptophyta; Magnoliopsida; Malpighiales; Euphorbiaceae.